AUUUCUCCUGAGGGUACAAUAGAGUCUAAUUUUCUUCAUUAUUCAAUUUGGAUCCUGUUAAGAGAGACAGACAUUCACUGACAAGAAGAACAUUUAAAUUUUGGCAAAUAAGUUCAUUAGUAUUCAGAAAGCUUUGCACCCCUCAUAUUUAAUAAACCUUUCCAUUACAGAGAAAGAAAU
This is an unclassified non-coding RNA of Aotus nancymaae (Ma's night monkey), 180 nucleotides long. The record is from Ensembl. Lineage: Eukaryota; Metazoa; Chordata; Mammalia; Primates; Aotidae.